AGCUAUGAUGAUUCAAGAACAAACUGACUUGGUAGUGAUACCUCUGGGUGUCUCUGACUAAGGCAUGAUCAGUUUUAAUCUUCUCGCUGAGCUG
Molecule: small nucleolar RNA, 94 nt
Organism: Osmerus eperlanus (European smelt)
Lineage: Eukaryota; Metazoa; Chordata; Actinopteri; Osmeriformes; Osmeridae
Product: Z30 small nucleolar RNA
Exons: 1
Source: RefSeq, a predicted model, not a curated record